Molecule: long non-coding RNA, 207 nt
Filed under: Panax ginseng (ginseng)
Lineage: Eukaryota; Viridiplantae; Streptophyta; Magnoliopsida; Apiales; Araliaceae
Description: long non-coding RNA (PGIN_LNC011559)
Source: RNAcentral
AUGACCGUAAUAUUACAAAUGAUGUGGUAAAAGUCUUCAUUGGCCCGUAGUGCAUUGAUGGACAGUUGUUGGCAUGAUCAUGACCAUUGAUGAAUACAUGAAUAUCCUUGGCCCAUAGUACAUGGAUUAUUUGUGGUCGUGACCCUAAUGAAUAUCCUUGACCGUAGUGCAGGGAUGAUGUGGAUUAUUUAUUAAGCUAAGUCUCAG